GGUCCGGUAGCUCAAUGGUUAGAGCACUUGCCUUUUAAGCAAGGUGUUCUGGGUUCGACUCCCAGCCGGAUCA
This 73-nucleotide transfer RNA is filed under the name Candidatus Blackburnbacteria bacterium RIFCSPHIGHO2_01_FULL_43_15b. RNAcentral describes it as "tRNA-Lys". It matches the Rfam family "tRNA". From Rfam's summary of the family: Transfer RNA (tRNA) molecules are approximately 80 nucleotides in length. Their secondary structure includes four short double-helical elements and three loops (D, anti-codon, and T loops). Further hydrogen bonds mediate the characteristic L-shaped molecular structure. tRNAs have two regions of fundamental functional importance: the anti-codon, which is responsible for specific mRNA codon recognition, and the 3' end, to which the tRNAs corresponding amino acid is attached (by aminoacyl-tRNA synthetases). tRNAs cope with the degeneracy of the genetic code in two manners: having more than one tRNA (with a specific anti-codon) for a particular amino acid; and 'wobble' base-pairing, i.e. permitting non-standard base-pairing at the 3rd anti-codon position. The record is from RNAcentral. Lineage: Bacteria; Candidatus Blackburniibacteriota.